GGCGAACGGGUGAGUAACACGUGGGCAAUCUGCCCUGCACUCUGGGAUAAGCCUGGGAAACUGGGUCUAAUACUGGAUAGGACCUUUCUCCUCAUGGGGUUUGGUGGAAAGUUUUUCGGUGCAGGAUGAGCCCGCGGCCUAUCAGCUUGUUGGUGGGGUAAUGGCCUACCAAGGCGACGACGGGUAGCCGGCCUGAGAGGGUGAUCGGCCACAUUGGGACUGAGAUACGGCCCAGACUCCUACGGGAGGCAGCAGAU
This 257-nucleotide ribosomal RNA is filed under the name uncultured Segniliparus sp. RNAcentral's name for it is "partial 16S ribosomal RNA". It matches the Rfam family "Bacterial small subunit ribosomal RNA", at positions 97 to 354 of the family's 1533-position model. The record is from RNAcentral. Lineage: Bacteria; Bacillati; Actinomycetota; Actinomycetes; Mycobacteriales; Segniliparaceae.